This 253-nucleotide ribosomal RNA is filed under the name uncultured bacterium. RNAcentral describes it as "partial 16S ribosomal RNA". It matches the Rfam family "Bacterial small subunit ribosomal RNA", at positions 524 to 776 of the family's 1533-position model. The record is from RNAcentral.
UACGGAGGGUGCAAGCGUUAUCCGGAUUUAUUGGGUUUAAAGGGUCCGUAGGCGGCUCUGUAAGUCAGUGGUGAAAUCUCACAGCUUAACUGUGAAACUGCCAUUGAUACUGCAGGUCUUGAGUGUUAUUGAAGUAGCUGGAAUAAGUAGUGUAGCGGUGAAAUGCAUAGAUAUUACUUAGAACACCAAUUGCGAAGGCAGGUUACUAAGCAACAACUGACGCUGAUGGACGAAAGCGUGGGGAGCGAACAGG